Molecule: ribosomal RNA, 440 nt
Filed under: uncultured bacterium
Lineage: Bacteria
Description: partial 16S ribosomal RNA
Rfam family: Bacterial small subunit ribosomal RNA
Source: RNAcentral
CCUACGGGAGGCAGCAGUGGGGAAUAUUGCACAAUGGGGGAAACCCUGAUGCAGCGACGCCGCGUGAGUGAAGAAGUAUUUCGGUUUGUAAAGCUCUAUCAGCAGGGAAGAAAAUGACGGUACCUGAUUAAGAAGCCCCGGCCAAAUACGUGCCAGCCGCCGCGGGAAUACGUAGGGGGCAAGCGUUGUCCGGAUUUACUGGGGGUAAAGGGAGCGUAGGCGGGGAUGCAAGUCAGAAGUGAAAGCCCCGGGCUCAACUUCGGGACUGCCGUUGAAACUGGGUGACUGGAGUGCAGGAGAGGUAGGCGGAAUUCCUGGUGUAGCGGUGAAAUGCGUAGAUAUCAGGAGGAACACCAGUGGCGAAGGCGGCUUACUGGACUUUAACUGACGUUGAGGCUCGAAAGCGUGGGGAGCAAACAGGAUUAGAUACCCUGGUAGUC